GAUGAACGCUGGCGGCGUGCCUAAUACAUGCAAGUCGAGCGAACAGACGAGGAGCUUGCUCCUCUGACGUUAGCGGCGGACGGGUGAGUACACGUGGAUAACCUACCUAUAAGACUGGGAUAACUUUGGGAAACCGGAGCUAAUACCGGAUAAUAUAUUGAACCGCAUGGUUCAAUAGUGAAAGACGGUUUUGCUGUCACUUAUAGAUGGAUCCGCGCCGCAUUAGCUAGUUGGUAAGGUAACGGCUUACCAAGGCAACGAUGCGUAGCCGACCUGAGAGGGUGAUCGGCCACACUGGAACUGAGACACGGUCCAGACUCCUACGGGAGGCAGCAGUAGGGAAUCUUCCGCAAUGGGCGAAAGCCUGACGGAGCAACGCCGCGUGAGUGAUGAAGGUCUUCGGAUCGUAAAACUCUGUUAUUAGGGAAGAACAAAUGUGUAAGUAACUAUGCACGUCUUGACGGUACCUAAUCAGAAAGCCACGGCUAACUACGUG
Molecule: ribosomal RNA, 496 nt
Filed under: uncultured bacterium
Lineage: Bacteria
Description: partial 16S ribosomal RNA
Rfam family: Bacterial small subunit ribosomal RNA
Source: RNAcentral